AAUCAACGCUGGCGGCGUGCCUAACACAUGCAAGUCGAACGAGAAAGUGGAGCAAUCCAUGAGUACAGUGGCGUACGGGUGAGUAACACGUGACUAACCUACCCUCGAGUGGGGAAUAACCUCGGGAAACCGGGGCUAACACCGCAUAAUAUCUACGGAUCAAAUGCGAAAGCAGCUUGAGGAGGGGUCGCGGCCGAUUAGCUAGUUGGUGAGGUAAUGGCUCACCAAGGCAAUGAUCGGUAGCCGGCCUGAGAGGGCGCACGGCCACACUGGAACU
This 277-nucleotide ribosomal RNA is filed under the name uncultured bacterium. Its description in RNAcentral is "partial 16S ribosomal RNA". It matches the Rfam family "Bacterial small subunit ribosomal RNA", at positions 32 to 320 of the family's 1533-position model. The record is from RNAcentral.